RNAcentral lists this long non-coding RNA (539 nucleotides) under Gossypium barbadense (sea-island cotton). RNAcentral describes it as "long non-coding RNA (GBAR_LNC014489)". The record is from RNAcentral. Lineage: Eukaryota; Viridiplantae; Streptophyta; Magnoliopsida; Malvales; Malvaceae.
AUUAAUCCCAUUAUAUCAUUGGUAAAAAGUAACAUUAGGCACAAGAAAACAAACUCGAAAUCACACACCAUACGACAGACAACAAAGUUGUGAAAGACUUAGAAAAUGAGUCCUUAAGACUCGAGGAAACCUCCAUCCAACACAAAGGACGGAAAAAUAUUAAUCCGAAACAGACCUCACCUUACUAGUAUAAUGGCCGGAAACCGACUUACAGACAAUAUCUUUCUUCUACCUGAAAUGUAGAACACGGCUAAGGGCGGCUCUCUUGAACUUGAAACCACCGAUGACGUCUUUCUUCUACCUGGAGGAAACAUGGAAGCAGAAGAUAUAUACAAGGUUGCUGGAGAAAAUGCAGCACAAGUUCCAAAACUUAGUCGACCGAUAACAAAGGGGUCGAGGGACCAAACGGGACAGCCAAACGUACCGUUGUGAAGAGGAGAGGGGGAUCUAUUGAACCCCUACCGUCAUGGUUAGAGAAGUCACCGGAACCAGCAGCUACAAAGGAGAGCAAAACGAGAGGGAAAAUGUUUCUGCCCAAC